GCCUAGAUUGGUAGAUUAAUUACGCUUCACAUCUUGCUAUGUUUAACCACAUUUAAUAUUGCCGUGUACCUAAUCAGGAUAGAACUAAAUAAUACACUUAAUGUGUAGUGUUUGUUUGUGUGAUUUUCCAUGCCGUGACUUGCAUGUACUCAGCUGCUCAUGCAUCAUUUGUGUUGUGCAUUGUGUGGUGAAUAUCAUGUGUUGAUUCUUGUUUCUGGUUUUCCCCGUCUCGAUAGAGUUUCGCAAGUGUGUCGGAUUG
RNAcentral lists this long non-coding RNA (259 nucleotides) under Hordeum vulgare. Its description in RNAcentral is "long non-coding RNA (HVUL_LNC012507)". The record is from RNAcentral. Lineage: Eukaryota; Viridiplantae; Streptophyta; Magnoliopsida; Poales; Poaceae.